UUAAAUUUUAACGAUCAUAGAAAAUUUGAACAACCAUCGAUGGUAUUUGUUAAGAAAACAUUAUAUUAUAUACAUAUUACUUUUUCACGCGAAUAACGAACCUUUACAUAUUUUUUAAUCGAAUUAAAAACAUCGUCUUGUUUAUUCCUUGUACGGGAAAUAAUAGUGUUGAUUAUAAAAAAGAAAACGGUUCAAUAGUAUCUUCGAAUAGGAGUCAGUCACACGUCGUAUAACGUGGACAACGACAUGUUUCCCCCACCCUUGUUCAUCCACACAUUGUGGCAGCAGCAGCAGCAACAGAAACAUCAGCGACAGCAACGCAACAGUCGACAGUACAGGACGGACCACGUACGAAAUAGGAUAAAGAAGAAUAAGAAGAAAAACAAGAAGAAGAAGAACUGCAAACAUCAACAGCAGCAAUAAUGAGCUCCUCUCUUGUAAAAGGGGUUUCAUCCCCGGUUCCUUAAGAACAAACGUGAGAUAUUUGUAGUCGAACAUUAUCUUGGUUUAAACUCUGAGGAUAUUUGUCGCGAGACGAAACGAAACGAAACGAGACGAGUCGCCACGAGACACGACGAAACGCGACGAGUCGCGACUCAAGGGUUCCAGUUAUUGAUUCGUCCGAAGGGGAAGGUACGCGCAAACGUUUCCCACUUUCCGUGUUUCGUCUCUCUCUCUCUCUCUUUCUCUCUCAUACACACACACACACACUCAUAUAUACAAUCCAACCAUCUACCUCUCUUCGAUCUGUUUCUUCCUUCGGUCAAUCACCAACGAAUAAACACACCGGAGUUACAUAUAUACCUCUUGAUUUCACUUCAGACAGAUUCCUCUGCUAAGAGAUCACGACGACUCUUGUGAAAUAGUUGAAAGAACGUUUAUAGCAAUCCCUUUUUGUCUCUUUUUCUUUUUCUUUUUCUUUUUAUUGGGGGGUUUUGGCAAGGUCAAACGUCUGGAUCGAUAUUCAUACAGGCUCUGUGUGUCAUCUACCUCCCAUAUACCAAUCCGUAAAUUCCCCUCUUGGAUAAAAGCUAAUUCAACAGCCAACGAUGAUCCUCCGUACAUUUAGGAUUGGAAAUAUAGGGUGUACAAGUUACGGACGACCUAGAGAUGACCUGAGAAACGAGUCCCUGAUCUUACUGGCUUUUGUUAGCUGACUUUUAAAACUCUUAUCGGUCGCGUUCUGUUUAUUUUUAGAAAAACCGUGACGAUAUCAUCGGGCCUUGUCGGAAUCACCGUUAACUUAUCUUUGCGUCAUUUUUCUUCUUCUUCUUUUUCUAAGAAAAAUAGAAGAAAAUAAAGACUAACAAUGGAGACCUCUAACUGCAGUAUGGAAAUACAUGUGUAUAAAUAAAUACGUUGCUGAGAUUACAGGCCAGACUAAUUUGGUCGAUAAACGACUAAAGUAGGAAUAGUAGGCACAAUUUAUUCGCGUUCUAGACCUUCUUAAAUACGUACAGCCACCAUUUAAAGACGACCCAACGACCUUAUUGUCCAAUUACAUCAAGAUUAGCUGUCCUACUAGGGACAUCUACUAUUAUGACAUAGAUGUAAUACGCUAUCGGACAAUUUAGGAUAGCAUACGAACUAAUUUGUUGCCUAUCUAUAAUAUUUU
RNAcentral lists this long non-coding RNA (1615 nucleotides) under Polistes canadensis. Its description in RNAcentral is "uncharacterized LOC106785015". The record is from RNAcentral. Lineage: Eukaryota; Metazoa; Arthropoda; Insecta; Hymenoptera; Vespidae.